ACGAACGCUGGCGGCAUGCCUAACACAUGCAAGUCGAACGAGACCUUCGGGUCUAGUGGCGCACGGGUGCGUAACGCGUGGGAAUCUGCCCCUCGGUUCGGAAUAACAGUGAGAAAUUGCUGCUAAUACCGGAUAAUGACUUCGGUCCAAAGAUUUAUUGCCGAGGGAUGAGCCCGCGUAGGAUUAGCUAGUUGGUGGGGUAAUGGCCUACCAAGGCGACGAUCCUUAGCUGGUCUGAGAGGAUGAUCAGCCACACUGGGACUGAGACACGGCCCAGACUCCUACGGGAGGCAGCAGUGGGGAAUAUUGGACAAUGGGCGAAAGCCUGAUCCAGCAAUGCCGCGUGAGUGAUGAAGGCCUUAGGGUUGUAAAGCUCUUUUACCCGGGAUGAUAAUGACAGUACCGGGAGAAUAAGCUCCGGCUAACUCCGU
This 431-nucleotide ribosomal RNA is filed under the name uncultured bacterium. Its description in RNAcentral is "bacterial SSU rRNA". It matches the Rfam family "Bacterial small subunit ribosomal RNA", at positions 29 to 506 of the family's 1533-position model. The record is from RNAcentral.